Molecule: non-coding RNA, 328 nt
Organism: Caretta caretta (loggerhead turtle)
Lineage: Eukaryota; Metazoa; Chordata; Testudines; Cheloniidae
Source: RefSeq, a predicted model, not a curated record
GGGCUGCCUGCGGGGGCGCACGCCGGGCCGGGGCUCCGGCAGAGCUGAGGGCGGUCUCGCUCGGCGCAUGGGGAAUGCAUUACCCGAGAGACUGUCCAGUUUGACCAAUGUACAUGGCAGAGGGGCAUUGCUGGCACAUGAUGGCAUAUAUCACAUUGGUGGAUGUGCAGGCCUGUCCUGUAGUAGGUGACUUCUGGGAACUCUUCUGGCUCUAUCAAUCUGUUUCUUCACUUCCGCAGUGAGACAGACAAAUAAGGAAAAGAAAGAAAAAACAAAACCCAAAUACUGCUAACAUGAAGCUAUUACCUGACGAAUUGUAAAAUACUCA